UUUUAGCAGGGAAGAAGCGAAAGUGACGGUACCUGCAGAAAAAGCACCGGCUAACUACGUGCCAGCAGCCGCGGUAAUACGUAGGGUGCAAGCGUUAUCCGGAAUUAUUGGGCGUAAAGAGCUCGUAGGCGGUUUGUCGCGUCUGCUGUGAAAACUGGGGGCUCAACCCCCAGCCUGCAGUGGGUACGGGCAGACUAGAGUGCGGUAGGGGAGAUUGGAAUUCCUGGUGUAGCGGUGGAAUGCGCAGAUAUCAGGAGGAACACCGAUGGCGAAGGCAGAUCUCUGGGCCGUAACUGACGCUGAGGAGCGAAAGGGUGGGGAGCAAACAGGCUUAGAUACCCUGGUAGUCCACCCCGUAAACGUUGGGAACUAGUUGUGGGGUCCAUUCCACGGAUUCCGUGACGCAGCUAACGCAUUAAGUUCCCCGCCUGGGGAGUACGGCCGCAAGGCUAAAACUCAAAGGAAUUGACGGGGACCCGCACAAGCGGCGGAGCAUGCGGAUUAAUUCGAUGCAACGCGAAGAACCUUACCAAGGCUUGACAUAUACGAGAACGGGCCAGAAAUGGUCAACUCUUUGGACACUCGUAAACAGGUGGUGCAUGGUUGUCGUCAGCUCGUGUCGUGAGAUGUUGGGUUAAGUCCCGCAACGAGCGCAACCCUCGUUCUAUGUUGCCAGCACGUAAUGGUGGGAACUCAUGGGAUACUGCCGGGGUCAACUCGGAGGAAGGUGGGGAUGACGUCAAAUCAUCAUGCCCCUUAUGUCUUGGGCUUCACGCAUGCUACAAUGGCCGGUACAAAGGGCUGCAAUACCGUAAGGUGGAGCGAAUCCCAAAAAGCCGGUCCCAGUUCGGAUUGAGGUCUGCAACUCGACCUCAUGAAGUCGGAGUCGCUAGUAAUCGCAGAUCAGCAACGCUGCGGUGAAUACGUUCCCGGGUCUUGUACACACCGCCCGUCAAGUCAUGAAAGUCGGUAACACCUGAAGCCGGUGGCCCUAACCCUUGUGGAGGGAGCCG
Molecule: ribosomal RNA, 1013 nt
Filed under: Microbacterium lacus
Lineage: Bacteria; Bacillati; Actinomycetota; Actinomycetes; Micrococcales; Microbacteriaceae
Description: bacterial SSU rRNA
Rfam family: Bacterial small subunit ribosomal RNA
Source: RNAcentral